Herpailurus yagouaroundi (jaguarundi) is the source of this 406-nucleotide long non-coding RNA. RefSeq lists it as uncharacterized. The record is from RefSeq and is a predicted model, not a curated record. The transcript has 3 exons. Lineage: Eukaryota; Metazoa; Chordata; Mammalia; Carnivora; Felidae.
GCGCGAGGGCCGCCGGAUGGGGGCGCUGCUGCCGAGAAGCUCGGGUUCUCGGGUGGGGAGUCGGGGGCGCGCUGGCAGCCGUAAGUACCCCCCGAGAUUUACAGUAACUCACGGCACCAGCACAGAGGCGGGAGUGGCGUAAGUUGAGGAUAGUGCCAGGAUCCUUAACCAGAUGUGGAGUCGGCAGGUAGUAGUGGAAACACCACGUGCCGGAGCCAAAGUGAUCUGCGCUUGAACCCUGGGUCUUCCUCCACUUACUCUGAAACUUGGGGCAAGUCGCUGUGAACUCAAAACAGAAGAACUCUCAUUGACUUAUCUUUCUGAAGUUAUCAUUCUGACUGACAUCUUCUUGAAGAAGGCAAUGAAGCUGGAUAAUCUCCCACCUACUUAAUGGUUCCUUCUCAGA